This 24-nucleotide microRNA is filed under the name Prunus persica (peach). RNAcentral's name for it is "microRNA miRNA_105". Lineage: Eukaryota; Viridiplantae; Streptophyta; Magnoliopsida; Rosales; Rosaceae. The record is from RNAcentral.
AAUCAAAGGAUGGGCCUUGGACCU